RNAcentral lists this ribosomal RNA (469 nucleotides) under uncultured bacterium. RNAcentral's name for it is "bacterial SSU rRNA". It matches the Rfam family "Bacterial small subunit ribosomal RNA", at positions 25 to 518 of the family's 1533-position model. The record is from RNAcentral.
CAGGACGAACGCUGGCGGCGUGCUUAACACAUGCAAGUCGAACGGGAGUAUUGAAGAAGCUUGCUUUAGAGAUACUUAGUGGCGGACGGGUGAGUAACGCGUGAGGAGCUGUCCUAUGCAGGGGGACAACAGCUGGAAACGGCUGCUAAUACCCCAUAAGCCGAGAGGUAAAAGGAUCAAUCCGGCAGAGGAGGUACUCGCGUCCUAUCAGCUAGUAGGUGAGGUAACGGCUCACCUAGGCGAAGACGGGUAGCCGGCCUGAGAGGGCGAACGGCCACACUGGAACUGAGAUACGGUCCAGACUCCUACGGGAGGCAGCAGUGGGGAAUAUUGGGCAAUGGGGGAAACCCUGACCCAGCGACGCCGCGUGGGUGAAGAAAUCCUUCGGGAUGUAAAGCCCUGUUGUAUGGGAAGAGCGGAAGACGGUACCAUACGAGGAAGCCCCGGCAAACUACGUGCCAGCCGCAGC